GGGCGUAGCAAUACGUCAGCGGCAGACGGGUGAGUAACGCGUGGGAACGUACCUUUUGGUUCGGAACAACACAGGGAAACUUGUGCUAAUACCGGAUAAGCCCUUACGGGGAAAGAUUUAUCGCCGAAAGAUCGGCCCGCGUCUGAUUAGCUAGUUGGUGAGGUAACGGCUCACCAAGGCGACGAUCAGUAGCUGGUCUGAGAGGAUGAUCAGCCACAUUGGGACUGAGACACGGCCCAAACUCCUACGGGAGGCAGCAGUGGGGAAUAUUGGACAAUGGGCGCAAGCCUGAUCCAGCCAUGCCGCGUGAGUGAUGAAGGCCCUAGGGUUGUAAAGCUCUUUUGUGCGGGAAGAUAAUGACGGUACCGCAAGAAUAAGCCCCGGCUAACUUCGUGCCAGCAGCCGCGGUAAUACGAAGGGGGCUAGCGUUGCUCGGAAUCACUGGGCGUAAAGGGUGCGUAGGCGGGUCUUUAAGUCAGGGGUGAAAUCCUGGAGCUCAACUCCAGAACUGCCUUUGAUACUGAGGAUCUUGAGUUCGGGAGAGGUGAGUGGAACUGCGAGUGUAGAGGUGAAAUUCGUAGAUAUUCGCAAGAACACCAGUGGCGAAGGCGGCUCACUGGCCCGAUACUGACGCUGAGC
This 639-nucleotide ribosomal RNA is filed under the name Bradyrhizobium sp. RNAcentral's name for it is "bacterial SSU rRNA". It matches the Rfam family "Bacterial small subunit ribosomal RNA", at positions 68 to 752 of the family's 1533-position model. Lineage: Bacteria; Pseudomonadati; Pseudomonadota; Alphaproteobacteria; Hyphomicrobiales; Nitrobacteraceae. The record is from RNAcentral.